CUUGGCUUCUACCCUGUAAUUUGUAAAACAGACGUUGUCCAUGUGUGCUCUAAUUCAAACUGCAUUUUAAUCUAAAUGGUUUCGUUGAGGUUUCUGAAGUGAUUAUAAAUUGCUUCGGGGCCCUCCAGUUAUCUCAGCAGCAUUAUUUUUACCAGUCAGUGCAAUUCAGGUGACAAUUAAAAACCAUGGCACUCAAGAAGUGUGUUAUAGCAAACAGGCUACAACAGAACGUCCAGCUUCUCUCUGAGAGGCGAGUACACCAGUCAUGCAACCAGCCAGCACCAGCUUUGCCAUGAAGAAAAGCUACAGAUAAAAGUAUCUUAUUUAAAUGCUAAAAGCUUAGUUUUCUCAUAAAGAAAAGGUGAAAAAAGAAAAAAAGACAACCUAAACUAUGAAGCAACUACUCAGAUAAUUAGAUAUCCAUAAGCCACCACCUCUUGCACUGCCUUAAAUCUCACUUUCAAACUUACUGCUCACGAACUUGUUGGAUGGUUCCCCUCUCAGCCGCCUUUCUACAGCAGCAGAUUUGCCAAUUUCCUGUUUUAUUCUCUUACAAAAUAAACAUAUAUAUUUAUAAAUGCAUAAAUAAAUGAAAGGCCCAGAACCAAAAAUAAACUCAUGGUAUUAAACCUAAAAUAUGGUUUUUGAUGCCUAGUUAUUUCAAAGAUUCCUGAACAGUGGCCACAACAGAUCUCCCCGAUCAUUGAUACCUGCAGAAAUCUCUGCCUCCACUACAAGAGAGGUCCUGCUCAGGCAAAACCUCCAUUCGGGGCCCACAUUCAACAGAGGCUGGAGAAUCAUCGUUCUGUGGCCCACCAACGCAGCAGGGAUCAUCUCACCAACUGUAUCAAGAUUCUCGUUAACUUCGUUGCCGACAGCUGCGAUGCAAGCGGUCGGUGAUGCUGCGGAGUAAAGAUCCAUACACAGACGCUGUCACUCUGCAGCUCGCACAAGCCCUUCGCUGUGUUGAGAACAUCGUAUCACAGAAUCAUCAAGGUUGGAAAGGACCCUGAAGCUCCUCCAGUCCAACCCUUAACCUCACACUGACCGUUCCCAACU
RNAcentral lists this long non-coding RNA (1059 nucleotides) under Bubo bubo (Eurasian eagle-owl). RNAcentral describes it as "lncRNA (ENSBOBG00000004059.1)". The record is from RNAcentral. Lineage: Eukaryota; Metazoa; Chordata; Aves; Strigiformes; Strigidae.